RNAcentral lists this ribosomal RNA (450 nucleotides) under uncultured bacterium. RNAcentral describes it as "bacterial SSU rRNA". It matches the Rfam family "Bacterial small subunit ribosomal RNA", at positions 354 to 796 of the family's 1533-position model. The record is from RNAcentral.
GUGGGGAAUAUUGGACAAUGGGGGCAACCCUGAUCCAGCCAUGCCGCGUGUGUGAAGAAGGCCUUCGGGUUGUAAAGCACUUUUGUUGGGGAAGAAACCGGCCGGGUUAAUACCCUGGUUGAAUGACGGUACCCAAAGAAUAAGCACCGGCUAACUUCGUGCCAGCAGCCGCGGUAAUACGAAGGGUGCAAGCGUUACUCGGAAUUACUGGGCGUAAAGCGUGCGUAGGCGGUUUGUUAAGUCUGCUGUGAAAGCCCUGGGCUCAACCUGGGAACUGCAGUGGAUACUGGCGAGCUAGAGUGUGUCAGAGGAUGGUGGAAUUCCCGGUGUAGCGGUGAAAUGCGUAGAGAUCGGGAGGAACACCAGUGGCGAAGGCGGCCAUCUGGGACAACACUGACGCUGAGGCACGAAAGCGUGGGGAGCAAACAGGAUUAGAAACCCCAGUAGUCC